GUCCAGGGUAGCCUAGUGGACAUGGCAUCUGCCCGGUAAGCGGAACAUUGUGGGUUCGAUUCCCAUCCUUGGGCA
This 75-nucleotide transfer RNA is filed under the name Cordylochernes scorpioides. Its description in RNAcentral is "tRNA-Thr". It matches the Rfam family "tRNA". Rfam says of the family: Transfer RNA (tRNA) molecules are approximately 80 nucleotides in length. Their secondary structure includes four short double-helical elements and three loops (D, anti-codon, and T loops). The record is from RNAcentral. Lineage: Eukaryota; Metazoa; Arthropoda; Arachnida; Pseudoscorpiones; Chernetidae.